This 677-nucleotide ribosomal RNA is filed under the name Salmonella enterica subsp. enterica serovar Anatum. RNAcentral's name for it is "partial 23S ribosomal RNA". It matches the Rfam family "Bacterial large subunit ribosomal RNA", at positions 1084 to 1681 of the family's 2925-position model. Lineage: Bacteria; Pseudomonadati; Pseudomonadota; Gammaproteobacteria; Enterobacterales; Enterobacteriaceae. The record is from RNAcentral.
CCCAGACAGCCAGGAUGUUGGCUUAGAAGCAGCCAUCAUUUAAAGAAAGCGUAAUAGCUCACUGGUCGAGUCGGCCUGCGCGGAAGAUGUAACGGGGCUAAACCAUGCACCGAAGCUGCGGCAGCGAACGUAUCACUUAAAGCGAUUCAGCGGGUUACGAUUGACGGAGCGAAGCGACGUCAAAGCGUAUACAAAGUCGAGUCGGUUUAAGGAUACGUUCGUUGGGUAGGGGAGCGUUCUGUAAGCCUGUGAAGGUGGCCUGUGAGGGUUGCUGGAGGUAUCAGAAGUGCGAAUGCUGACAUAAGUAACGAUAAAGCGGGUGAAAAGCCCGCUCGCCGGAAGACCAAGGGUUCCUGUCCAACGUUAAUCGGGGCAGGGUGAGUCGACCCCUAAGGCGAGGCCGAAAGGCGUAGUCGAUGGGAAACAGGUUAAUAUUCCUGUACUUGGUGUUACUGCGAAGGGGGGACGGAGAAGGCUAUGUUGGCCGGGCGACGGUUGUCCCGGUUUAAGCGUGUAGGCUGGUUUUCCAGGCAAAUCCGGAAAAUCAAGGCUGAGGCGUGAUGACGAGGCACUACGGUGCUGAAGCAACAAAUGCCCUGCUUCCAGGAAAAGCCUCUAAGCAUCAGGUAACAUCAAAUCGUACCCCAAACCGACACAGGUGGUCAGGUAGAGAAUAC